GUCUCUCCGCGCGGAGGUAGCUUAGGUUACUCGAUGCUCACAAGUUGAGGAAUGAAAUGGACCAGAAGAGCUCACUUCCAUUGUUGGCAUCAAAACAACUGUAAAGCUCAUUAAUUCAAAUGCAGAGGCUUUAAUUUGGAUUUACUUUAAAGCACAUGUGACCUGUUAUGCAUUUUGAAUGAAACAUGAAAGGUAUAUUGUAUGAGUGAAAUGUAAGUUAUUAAACCACGUGAAACAA
Long non-coding RNA from Emys orbicularis (European pond turtle), 238 nucleotides. RefSeq lists it as uncharacterized. The record is from RefSeq and is a predicted model, not a curated record. Lineage: Eukaryota; Metazoa; Chordata; Testudines; Emydidae. The transcript is spliced from 3 exons.